Molecule: small RNA, 16 nt
Filed under: Arabidopsis thaliana (thale cress)
Lineage: Eukaryota; Viridiplantae; Streptophyta; Magnoliopsida; Brassicales; Brassicaceae
Description: ATSL182870
Source: RNAcentral
ACAAGAAGAAAGAAAA